UGCGGGGUAGAGCAGUGGCAGCUCGUCGGGCUCAUAACCCGGAGGUCAGUCGUUCGAAUCGACUCCCCGCUAC
RNAcentral lists this transfer RNA (73 nucleotides) under Chloroflexi bacterium ADurb.Bin344. Its description in RNAcentral is "tRNA-Met". It matches the Rfam family "tRNA". From Rfam's summary of the family: Transfer RNA (tRNA) molecules are approximately 80 nucleotides in length. Their secondary structure includes four short double-helical elements and three loops (D, anti-codon, and T loops). The record is from RNAcentral. Lineage: Bacteria; Bacillati; Chloroflexota.